This 494-nucleotide ribosomal RNA is filed under the name uncultured bacterium. RNAcentral describes it as "partial 16S ribosomal RNA". It matches the Rfam family "Bacterial small subunit ribosomal RNA", at positions 28 to 507 of the family's 1533-position model. The record is from RNAcentral.
GACGAACGCUGGCGGCGUGCUUAACACAUGCAAGUCGAACGGUGAAGCGCCUUCCUUUUUGGUGGGUGUGGAUGAGUGGCGAACGGGUGAGCAACACGUGAGUAACCUGCCCCCUUCUUCUGGAUAACCGCAUGAAAGUGUGGCUAAUACGGGAUAUUCUGGGUCUGUCGCAUGAUGGGUCUGGGAAAGAUAUUGUUUCGGUGGGGGAUGGGCUCGCGGCCUAUCAGCUUGUUGGUGGGGUGAUGGCCUACCAAGGCGGUGACGGGUAGCCGGCCUGAGAGGGUGGACGGUCACACUGGGACUGAGACACGGCCCAGACUCCUACGGGAGGCAGCAGUGGGGAAUAUUGCACAAUGGGCGCAAGCCUGAUGCAGCGACGCCGCGUGAGGGAUGGAGGCCUUCGGGUUGUGAACCUCUUUCGCCAGUGAAGCAGGCCUGCCUCGUUUGUGGGUGGGUUGACGGUAGCUGGAUAAGAAGCGCCGGCUAACUACGUG